RNAcentral lists this ribosomal RNA (384 nucleotides) under uncultured soil bacterium. RNAcentral describes it as "bacterial SSU rRNA". It matches the Rfam family "Bacterial small subunit ribosomal RNA", at positions 26 to 390 of the family's 1533-position model. The record is from RNAcentral.
AGAUUGAACGCUGGCGGAAUGCUUUACACAUGCAAGUCGAACGGCAGCACGGGACUCAGGCAACUGAGCCCUGGUGGCGAGUGGCGAACGGGUGAGUAACAUAUCGGAACGUACCCAGUCGUGGGGGGAUAACUCGUCCGAAAGGAGAGCUAAUACCGCAUACGUCCUGAGAGAGAAAGCGGGGGACCUAAGGGUAACUGAGGCCUCGCGCGAUUGGAGCGGCCGAUAUCGGAUUAGCUAGUUGGUGAGGUAACGGCUCACCAAGGCGACGACGCGUAGCGGGCUGAGAGGUGGCCGGCACAUUGGGACUGAGACACUCGCCAGACUCCGUACGGGGGGCUGCAGUAACAAUCUUCCGACAAUGACAACGAAAGUGUAGACGGA